GCCCCCGUUGUCUAAUGGCUAUGACGUCAGACUUCUACCUGAAUGCGCGGGGAUCUGGAGGUUGCGGGUUCGAGUCCCGCCGGGGGUA
Molecule: non-coding RNA, 88 nt
Organism: Trametes cingulata
Lineage: Eukaryota; Fungi; Basidiomycota; Agaricomycetes; Polyporales; Polyporaceae
Source: the annotation of a GenBank genome assembly